Molecule: ribosomal RNA, 537 nt
Filed under: uncultured bacterium
Lineage: Bacteria
Description: partial 16S ribosomal RNA
Rfam family: Bacterial small subunit ribosomal RNA
Source: RNAcentral
UGGGGAAUAUUGCACAAUGGGCGAAAGCCUGAUGCAGCGACGCCGCGUGCGGGAUGAAGGCCUUCGGGUUGUAAACCGCUUUUAAUUGGGAGCAAGCGAGAGUGAGUGUACCUUUUGAAUAAGCACCGGCUAACUACGUGCCAGCAGCCGCGGUAAUACGUAGGGUGCAAGCGUUAUCCGGAAUUAUUGGGCGUAAAGAGCUCGUAGGCGGUUUGUCACGCUGGUGUGAAAGUCCAUCGCUUAACGGUGGAUCUGCGCCGGGUACGGGCAGGCUAGAGUGCAGUAGGGGAGAUUGGAAUUCCCGGUGUAACGGUGGAAUGUGUAGAUAUCGGGAAGAACACCAAUGGCGAAGGCAGAUCUCUGGGCUGUUACUGACGCUGAGGAGCGAAAAGCAUGGGGAGCGAACAGGAUUAGAUACCCUGGUAGUCCAUGCCGUAAAACGGUGGAUGCUGGAUGUGGGACCCUUCCACGGGGUUCCGUGUCGGAGCUAACGCGUUAAGCAUCCCGCCUGGGGAGUACGGCCGCAAGGCUAAAAAC